RNAcentral lists this ribosomal RNA (468 nucleotides) under uncultured bacterium. RNAcentral describes it as "partial 16S ribosomal RNA". It matches the Rfam family "Bacterial small subunit ribosomal RNA", at positions 28 to 507 of the family's 1533-position model. The record is from RNAcentral.
GACGAACGCUGGCGGCGUGCUUAACACAUGCAAGUCGAACGGAAAGGCCCUGCUUUUGUGGGUUGCUCGAGUGGCGAACGGGUGAGUAACACGUGAGUAACCUGCCCUUGACUUUGGGAUAACUUCAGGAAACGGGGGCUAAUACCGGAUAGGAGCUCCUGCUGCAUGGUGGGGGUGGGAAAGUUUCGGCGGUUGGGGAUGGACUCGCGGCUUAUCAGCUUGUUGGUGGGGUAGUGGCUUACCAAGGCUUUGACGGGUAGCCGGCCUGAGAGGGUGACCGGCCACACUGGGACUGAGAUGCGGCGCAGACUCCUACGGGAGGCAGCAGUGGGGAAUAGUGCACAAUGGGCGGAAGCCGGAUGCAGCAACGCCGCGUGCGGGAUGACGGCCUUCGGGUUGUAAACCGCUUUCGCCUGUGACGAAGCGUGAGUGACAGUAAUGGGUAAAGAAGCACCGGCUAACUACGUG